UUUUACAGUCCGUGCUGUGCAUGUAGUAGCAACAAAUACAAAGGCAACGAGUCUCACGGACCGGUGUGUAAGACUGUCAUCCAUUCCUGCGGAUAAUAGCUAGAAGGAAGCGCCCGGGAAGGUCAGCCAACAAUCCCGCCGUAGGUGCCAAAGUGAAAUCUACAGGACUACAAUUACUUGGACAGACUGAGGCGGCAGAGCAAAGUGAAUGACAGUAACUGAUUGGUAUGGUGUGGUGUUGACAUCGGACUUCUCUGUCAGCGUCAGCAACACGUGAUCUCCGCCCUUCCCGACACCCGCAGCCUCUGACCU
Molecule: long non-coding RNA, 312 nt
Organism: Xiphias gladius (swordfish)
Lineage: Eukaryota; Metazoa; Chordata; Actinopteri; Istiophoriformes; Xiphiidae
Exons: 3
Source: RefSeq, a predicted model, not a curated record